GUGCCAGCCGCCGCGGUAAUACGUAGGGUGCGAGCGUUGUCCGGAAUUAUUGGGCGUAAAGGGCUCGUAGGCGGUUUGUCACGUCGGGAGUGAAAACUCGGGGCUUAACCCCGAGCCUGCUUCCGAUACGGGCUGACUAGAGGUAUGCAGGGGAGAACGGAAUUCCUGGUGUAGCGGUGAAAUGCGCAGAUAUCAGGAGGAACACCGGUGGCGAAGGCGGUUCUCUGGGCAUUACCUGACGCUGAGGAGCGAAAGUGUGGGGAGCGAACAGGAUUAGAAACCCUUGUAGUCC
This 292-nucleotide ribosomal RNA is filed under the name uncultured bacterium. RNAcentral describes it as "partial 16S ribosomal RNA". It matches the Rfam family "Bacterial small subunit ribosomal RNA", at positions 505 to 796 of the family's 1533-position model. The record is from RNAcentral.